UAGCACACAAGUAUUAAAGGUCCCGCCUGCCCAGUGAAACUUUUUAACGGCCGCGGUAUUCUAACCGUGCAAAGGUAGCGUAAUCACUUGUCUUCUAAAUAAAGACCAGUAUGAACGGCUAAAUGAGGGUAACCCUGUCUCCUGCGACUAAUCAGUGAAACUGAUCUCCCCGUCAAAAAGCUGGGAUAUAAACAUAAGACGAGAAGACCCUGUGGAGCUUAAAACCCCUUGCUACCAGACACCAGUCUCACCUAGCAAAAGGUUUUAAGUUGGGGCGACUUCGGAACAAAACAAAACUUCCAAGCACAGAACCACUCCUUCUAACCAAGGCAAACAAGCCAAAGCAAAAAUCGACCCAGUCACACUGACCAACGAACCAAGUUACCCCAGGGAUAACAGCGCCAUCUUCUUCAAGAGUUCAUAUCGACAAGAAGGUUUACGACCUCGAUGUUGGAUCAGGGCCCCCCAGUGGUGCAGCCGCUAUUAAAGGUUCGUUUGUUCAACGAUUAACAGCC
RNAcentral lists this ribosomal RNA (515 nucleotides) under Glaphyromorphus arnhemicus. Its description in RNAcentral is "Glaphyromorphus darwiniensis arnhemicus partial 16S ribosomal RNA". It matches the Rfam family "Bacterial large subunit ribosomal RNA", at positions 1833 to 2595 of the family's 2925-position model. Lineage: Eukaryota; Metazoa; Chordata; Lepidosauria; Squamata; Scincidae. The record is from RNAcentral.